CUAUACAUGCAAGUCGAGCGGACAGAAGGGAGCUUGCUCCCGGAUGUUAGCGGCGGACGGGUGAGUAACACGUGGGUAACCUGCCUGUAAGACUGGGAUAACUCCGGGAAACCGGAGCUAAUACCGGAUAGUUCCUUGAACCGCAUGGUUCAAGGAUGAAAGACGGUUUCGGCUGUCACUUACAGAUGGACCCGCGGCGCAUUAGCUAGUUGGUGAGGUAACGGCUCACCAAGGCGACGAUGCGUAGCCGACCUGAGAGGGUGAUCGGCCACACUGGGACUGAGACACGGCCCAGACUCCUACGGGAGGCAGCAGUAGGGAAUCUUCCGCAAUGGACGAAAGUCUGACGGAGCAACGCCGCGUGAGUGAUGAAGGUUUUCGGAUCGUAAAGCUCUGUUGUUAGGGAAGAACAAGUGCAAGAGUAACUGCUUGCACCUUGACGGUACCUAACCAGAAAGCCACGGCUAACUACGUGCCAGCAGCCGCGGUAAUACGUAGGUGGCAAGCGUUGUCCGGAAUUAUUGGGCGUAAAGGGCUCGCAGGCGGUUUCUUAAGUCUGAUGUGAAAGCCCCCGGCUCAACCGGGGAGGGUCAUUGGAAACUGGGAAACUUGAGUGCAGAAGAGGAGAGUGGAAUUCCACGUGUAGCGGUGAAAUGCGUAGAGAUGUGGAGGAACACCAGUGGCGAAGGCGACUCUCUGGUCUGUAACUGACGCUGAGGAGCGAAAGCGUGGGGAGCGAACAGGAUUAGA
Molecule: ribosomal RNA, 750 nt
Filed under: Bacillus altitudinis
Lineage: Bacteria; Bacillati; Bacillota; Bacilli; Caryophanales; Bacillaceae
Description: bacterial SSU rRNA
Rfam family: Bacterial small subunit ribosomal RNA
Source: RNAcentral